CAUAUAGGGGAUCCACUAAGAAAAGACCCGCUACAUGGCUCUUCACAAAAACUACAAAAGGAAGUUUCGCAAGGUUGAUCUGUCAUCUCUGUCCAUCGAACAGCCCAUUGGUGCAUUACAUUCUCAAAUCCAACCAUAGAUACACACUUGCAAUCCUUGUGUGCACUUGAAGAGCAACUUAGGUGUGCCGCUGCACCACAAAUGCUACAGUGGUGAAUAAAACUGUCUGAGGCCACCAUAGGCCCAAGAGUUUGAGAAGGAGACAUGGACCUUAAACAGACACAGCAAUUUAAAUUCUUUCCACGCGAUAUAGGUUCGAGAACCCACUUAUGAGGAGUUACAGGAACCUUAUGCCUUGCCUUUGGGUUUUUCUUUGACCUGGCUACGGCUUUCAUCCAAUUUAGAUUGAUGUUUCUUCUCCAUUGGAAAGCGGUGUAAGCUAUUGUCAAAAUACCAACUAAAGCAGCAAUUAAGCAAGAUAAAAUAAAAAUAC
Molecule: unclassified non-coding RNA, 493 nt
Filed under: Hevea brasiliensis (rubber tree)
Lineage: Eukaryota; Viridiplantae; Streptophyta; Magnoliopsida; Malpighiales; Euphorbiaceae
Source: RNAcentral